AUGAAUCUGCUAUGCUGGAAGUGUCGUGGGAUUGGCAAUGCCCCGACAAUUCAAGAGCUAUGCGAACUCGCGAUAAAGUUUGCCCCUAGAGUACUUUGCUUAUUGGAAACCCGGAUUAGUGGUGAUAGAGCUCAAAACUUAAAAAGCACUCUAGGUUAUGAUAACUCUAUUUCUGUUGAUUCCUCUGGUAGGAGUGAAGGCUUAGCAAUGUAUUGGAAUAAUGAAAUAAAUAUUGAGAAUUUGGGUUACUCGCAGUAUCACAUAGAUAUGCAAAUUUCGGGGCUUGGUGGUGACCCGUGGAGGCUGUCAUGUUUCUAUGGCGAAGCACAAACUCAUCUCCGACAGAGGACAUGGGACACAAUGAAGAACUUGGCAGCGCUCCAUAACCUACUAUGGGGCCUAUAUAGGAGAUUUCAAUGA
RNAcentral lists this ribosomal RNA (420 nucleotides) under Triticum aestivum (bread wheat). RNAcentral's name for it is "partial small subunit ribosomal RNA". The record is from RNAcentral. Lineage: Eukaryota; Viridiplantae; Streptophyta; Magnoliopsida; Poales; Poaceae.